GACGAACGCUGGCGGCGCGCUUAACACAUGCAAGUCGAGCGGAAAGGCCCUUCGGGGUACUCGAGCGGCGAACGGGUGAGUAACACGUGAGUAACCUGCCCCAGGCUUUGGGAUAACCCUCGGAAACGGGGGCUAAUACCGAAUAUGACUUCCGGCCGCAUGGUUGGGGGUGGAAAGUUUUUCGGCUUGGGAUGGGCUCGCGGCCUAUCAGCUUGUUGGUGGGGUGAUGGGCUACCAAGGCGACGACGGGUAGCCGGCCUGAGAGGGCGACCGGCCACACUGGGACUGAGACACGGCCCAGACUCCUACGGGAGGCAGCAGUGGGGAAUAUUGCACAAUGGGCGGAAGCCUGAUGCAGCGACGCCGCGUGAGGGAUGACGGCCUUCGGGUUGUAAACCUCUUUCAGCAGGGACGAAGCGUAAGUGACGGUACCUGCAGAAGAAGCGCCGGCCAACUACGUGACAGCAGCCGCAGUAA
RNAcentral lists this ribosomal RNA (477 nucleotides) under uncultured bacterium. RNAcentral's name for it is "partial 16S ribosomal RNA". It matches the Rfam family "Bacterial small subunit ribosomal RNA", at positions 28 to 523 of the family's 1533-position model. The record is from RNAcentral.